AAUUAUAAAACCCACACCAGGUUCAAGUUUCUUCACUGCUUCUUCAGCAAUUUCAUGAAGUUCUCGAUACAUUUAUGUCCCUUGUAACAACUACAUCCACACAUCUGACAUCAUUCGCUAUCAUCAGUUGUUUUCUCCAGCAUCUAAUACAUAUAAGAUUAAAUAAGGCUAGAUGAGAUUGUAUUUAUGGAUACGCUACACAUACAUUGUUUCUCUUGUGCGUAAAUAUCUUUUCAAUCUUUUAUAAGCAAUAGAACAAGUGCUUUCUGUAAAGGAGAAACUUGACAACAAACCACAACAUGGCAAUUCAAACUCAAGAAUUUGAAACUUGAAAUUUCAAACUCAAGAACCCUAAAAAUUUGAAACAAAACCCUAAAAAUCAAGAACACUAGCAAUAAAAAUCCAAAUGUUGAAACAUAUCCUUAUAAAACAAGAACAGUAGAAAUAACUAGCAAGGUACCAAAUGUUGAAACAUAACCUAACAGAGUGACACUUACGAUGGCGAAGAUGUUGAGAUGCGAUGGCGAAGUCGUGUUGAAACAUAACCUAACAGAGCGACACUUGUGAUGACAAUGGUCGCAGAGAAGGAUUGCGUUGAAGGUGAGAUGCAGGUUACAGGUUUCGCAGAGAGAUGAAGGUUUUGUAGGGAGAGGAGGGUUCCCAUGGAGGAGGGUUCUCACAAAGAAAAGUUUCGUAGGGAUAGGAGGGUUUGCAUAUAGAAGGGUUUUGCAGGGAGAAUGAACAAAU
This 747-nucleotide long non-coding RNA is filed under the name Cicer arietinum (chickpea). RNAcentral describes it as "long non-coding RNA (CARI_LNC001220)". The record is from RNAcentral. Lineage: Eukaryota; Viridiplantae; Streptophyta; Magnoliopsida; Fabales; Fabaceae.